AAAGCUCAAAUUUAAAAUCUGGCGGUCUUUGGCCGUCCGAGUUGUAAUUUAGAGAAGCGUCACCCGCGCUGGACCGUGUACAAGUCUCCUCGAACGGAGCAUCAUAGAGGGUGAGAAUCCCGUCCAUGACACGGACUACCAGGGCUUUGUGGUGCGCUCUCGACGAGUCGAGUUGUUUGGGAAUGCAGCUCAAAAUGGGUGGUAAAUUCCAUCUAAAGCUAAAUACAGGCGAGAGACCGAUAGCGAA
RNAcentral lists this ribosomal RNA (247 nucleotides) under Stephanosporaceae sp. 1 CRJH-2017. Its description in RNAcentral is "partial 28S ribosomal RNA". It matches the Rfam family "Eukaryotic large subunit ribosomal RNA", at positions 104 to 344 of the family's 3401-position model. Lineage: Eukaryota; Fungi; Basidiomycota; Agaricomycetes; Agaricales; Stephanosporaceae. The record is from RNAcentral.